GAUGAACGCUGGCGGCGUGCCUAAUACAUGCAAGUCGAGCGAACGGACGAGAAGCUUGCUUCUCUGAUGUUAGCGGCGGACGGGUGAGUAACACGUGGAUAACCUACCUAUAAGACUGGGAUAACUUCGGGAAACCGGAGCUAAUACCGGAUAAUAUUUUGAACCGCAUGGUUCAAAAGUGAAAGACGGUCUUGCUGUCACUUAUAGAUGGAUCCGCGCUGCAUUAGCUAGUUGGUAAGGUAACGGCUUACCAAGGCAACGAUGCAUAGCCGACCUGAGAGGGUGAUCGGCCACACUGGAACUGAGACACGGUCCAGACUCCUACGGGAGGCAGCAGUAGGGAAUCUUCCGCAAUGGGCGAAAGCCUGACGGAGCAACGCCGCGUGAGUGAUGAAGGUCUUCGGAUCGUAAAACUCUGUUAUUAGGGAAGAACAUAUGUGUAAGUAACUGUGCACAUCUUGACGGUACCUAAUCAGAAAGCCACGGCUAACUACGUGCCAGCAGCCGCGGUAAUACGUAGGUGGCAAGCGUUAUCCGGAAUUAUUGGGCGUAAAGCGCGCGUAGGCGGUUUUUUAAGUCUGAUGUGAAAGCCCACGGCUCAACCGUGGAGGGUCAUUGGAAACUGGAAAACUUGAGUGCAGAAGAGGAAAGUGGAAUUCCAUGUGUAGCGGUGAAAUGCGCAGAGAUAUGGAGGAACACCAGUGGCGAAGGCGACUUUCUGGUCUGUAACUGACGCUGAUGUGCGAAAGCGUGGGGAUCAAACAGGAUUAGAUACCCUGGUAGUCCACGCCGUAAACGAUGAGUGCUAAGUGUUAGGGGGUUUCCGCCCCUUAGUGCUGCAGCUAACGCAUUAAGCACUCCGCCUGGGGAGUACGACCGCAAGGUCGAAACUCAAAGGAAUUGACGGGGACCCGCACAAGCGGUGGAGCAUGUGGUUUAAUUCGAGGCAACGCGAAGAACCUUACCAAAUCUUGACAUCCUUUGACAACUCUAGAGAUAGAGCCUUCCCCUUCGGGGGACAAAGUGACAGGUGGUGCAUGGUUGUCGUCAGCUCGUGUCGUGAGAUGUUGGGUUAAGUCCCGCAACGAGCGCAACCCUUAAGCUUAGUUGCCAUCAUUAAGUUGGGCACUCUAAGUUGACUGCCGGUGACAAACCGGAGGAAGGUGGGGAUGACGUCAAAUCAUCAUGCCCCUUAUGAUUUGGGCUACACACGUGCUACAAUGGACAAUACAAAGGGCAGCGAAACCGCGAGGUCAAGCAAAUCCCAUAAAGUUGUUCUCAGUUCGGAUUGUAGUCUGCAACUCGACUACAUGAAGCUGGAAUCGCUAGUAAUCGUAGAUCAGCAUGCUACGGUGAAUACGUUCCCGGGUCU
Molecule: ribosomal RNA, 1372 nt
Filed under: uncultured bacterium
Lineage: Bacteria
Description: bacterial SSU rRNA
Rfam family: Bacterial small subunit ribosomal RNA
Source: RNAcentral